This is a long non-coding RNA of Ornithodoros turicata, 825 nucleotides long. RefSeq lists it as uncharacterized. The transcript is spliced from 4 exons. The record is from RefSeq and is a predicted model, not a curated record. NCBI's taxonomy places the organism in Eukaryota, Metazoa, Arthropoda, Arachnida, Ixodida, Argasidae.
UUGCAUACGCUGACUGAAUAGUACAGUACACCUGUUACGUGGGCGCUCGACAAAGGCAGUUCUUUUAAAAUGAAGCAAGUCAUCCUCGCUCUCGUAUCGCUCUGCUUCUUCGGCUUCAUUGCGCCACAGUGCGAGAAAGAAAACAUGGCGCAGAUAUUUUCUGAAGCUGACGCUGAAUGUAAUGCAAGAUACAGACAGCAAUACAGACUCGCUACAGAUUUGGUUCCCGCUACGACAAGAUGCUGCAUGUUGGAGUACGGCAAGGACUGCGUUCCCUUACGACUCAGAGAAAAACGAUGCGAUCAACUGAUCUUCACACAUUUUAAGGAAAUAAGGAGCAAGCAAAUAGUGGCGGAAGGUGCAUCCUUGAACUUCAACUAGGCGACUAGACGUACCGCCAUCACGAUACCUCUAUCCCUUGCUACGUAUUUGAAGAAUUGUAGCACCCAAUCAGACGCAAGCGUGGAGGUACACACAACGUCGUCUGCUCUAGUCUAUCGGAGAGCAGUGUAGAAGCAGCAAGAAAGAGCGACAAACUUACGCGGGUUGGUAAUAUGGCCUAAAAUGCUGGACAGAAAACCAACCUGGGACUGUGCGAUAUACUUCUGCACGUCAUUCGUUUGACGCGCCUUGUUUUCUAUGAUGUGGUGCAAUUCACUUUCUUUCCGCCUCUGACGGCGACGUGGACAGCACGCAGCAAGCAUUUCGUCCUCAAAGCACGCGGGCACCUUUCCUUCUUUUUUGGGAUAAACCCUCAAAUAUGAAGGUAAGAAAUGUUCACGUUGAAACACAGUGGUGGACAGAACGAUCUUGGAACCGGGCCGA